RNAcentral lists this ribosomal RNA (496 nucleotides) under uncultured bacterium. RNAcentral's name for it is "partial 16S ribosomal RNA". It matches the Rfam family "Bacterial small subunit ribosomal RNA", at positions 28 to 506 of the family's 1533-position model. The record is from RNAcentral.
GAUGAACGCUGGCGGCGUGCCUAAUACAUGCAAGUCGAGCGAACAGACGAGGAGCUUGCUCCUCUGACGUUAGCGGCGGACGGGUGAGUAACACGUGGAUAACCUACCUAUAAGACUGGGAUAACUUCGGGAAACCGGAGCUAAUACCGGAUAAUAUAUUGAACCGCAUGGUUCAAUAGUGAAAGACGGUUUUGCUGUCACUUAUAGAUGGAUCCGCGCCGCAUUAGCUAGUUGGUAAGGUAACGGCUUACCAAGGCAACGAUGCGUAGCCGACCUGAGAGGGUGAUCGGCCACACUGGAACUGAGACACGGUCCAGACUCCUACGGGAGGCAGCAGUAGGGAAUCUUCCGCAAUGGGCGAAAGCCUGACGGAGCAACGCCGCGUGAGUGAUGAGGGUCUUCGGAUCGUAAAACUCUGUUAUUAGGGAAGAACAAAUGUGUAAGUAACUAUGCACGUCUUGACGGUACCUAAUCAGAAAGCCACGGCGAACUACGU